CUCGGGUAGCAUUCCGAUCCUUCGGUGGUUCCUCUUCUGUGGAGGCGUUGUCGUAGGGUCGGAUGCUCCUCGUCUUGCGGUGGGACGACGCAUGAGUGGCUCUCAGGGUACGAUCCCACAGCAGGCUCCAUGUUCUCGGCAUCGAACUGCUUUGGUCUAUCCGUUUCAUUUGUUUGUUCGCCCCGUCCCUAUCAGGGUCGGUUGCGACCUCUCCGUGGGUCCCUGUUCUUGUUAUCGUGAUGUGGCAAUCGGUUGACUUUGCUGUCCCCGCAUUUGCUCCCCUCGGUUCCCCUACGCCUAAUUUGUGGUGGGGAAUACCGUGCGGGCGUCUACGUUCUCCAUCCGAGCCGUUGUCCCCGUGUGGGCGCUCCGUCUCGUGAUGGUGCGUGGAUGCUUUCGGCUUGCUCUUUGGUACGGAUGAUUCGUUGGGCUUCGCUACGGUCUAUGACGGCCGGGGCGAGAUCCCGAUGUGUACAAUGCAUCAACGCUUCUGCUUGCGUGACCCUCGUGCCUCCUUAGGCGGUCGCGGGACUUUUGCGUCCCGUGUUCGUCCUGCGGAGGCAUCGAGGUCUAUGGAGGAAUGCUACCUGGUUGAUCCU
RNAcentral lists this unclassified non-coding RNA (599 nucleotides) under Rhynchanthera brachyrhyncha. RNAcentral's name for it is "partial contains external transcribed spacer and 18S ribosomal RNA". The record is from RNAcentral. Lineage: Eukaryota; Viridiplantae; Streptophyta; Magnoliopsida; Myrtales; Melastomataceae.